CUCUGAGAGAUAUUCCAUCCAUUAGAAGUCAAGACAUCAUUGCUGCUGCUGCUGCUAAGUCUCUUCAGUCAUGUCCAACUCUGUGCGACCCCAUAGACGGCAGCCCACCAGGCUCCCCCGUCCCUGGGAUUCUCCAGGCAAGAACACUGGAGUGGGUUGCCAUUUCCUUCUCCAAUGCAUGAAAGUGAAAAGGGAAAGUGAAGUCACUCAGUCGUGUCUGACUCUUCGAGACCCCAUGGACUGCAGCCUACCAGGCUCCUCCUCUCAUGAGAUUUUCCAGGCAAGAGUACUGGAGUGGGGUGCCAUCGCCUUCUCCGCAAGGCAUCAUUAGACUGACCCGCCCCCAGGAGGGGUGAACUCCGGCCAUUCCUGGGGAGAAGAAUCCCGCCGUGGGCUGCUCUCACCAGGUUCGGCCAGGCCGUCCUGCUCUCCGGGCCCUGCAGAGGCCUCCCCGGCCCCACACAGCCCUCCUGCUCCCCCCACCCCACCCCCUGCAGCCGUCCACCGCCCAGCAGUCUGCUUCUCACGUGUGGAGCUGUGUCUGCAGAACACGAAACAGACCGCUCCGCACCCAGAACAGGGAGCCUGUCAGCUGCAGUGGGAAGGCUGGUGGAAAACUGCCCUGGAAAUGCUAACAGGGCUCGGGGGCACAAGUCACAUAGAUUUCCUAAAGGAAAUCAACCCUGAAUAUUCACUGGAAGGACUGAUGCUAAAGCUGAAGCUCGAAUACUUUGGCCACCUGAUCCCAAGAACUGACUCACAAGAAAAGACCCUGAUGCUGGGAAAGAUUGAAGGUGGGAGAAGGGGACAACAGAUGAGAUAAUUGGAUGGCAUCAUCGACUCAGUGGACGAGAAUUUGAGCAGGCUCCGGGAAAUAGUGAAGGUCAGGGAGGCCUGAUGUGCUGCAGCCCAUGGAGUCACAGAGAGUCGGACAGGACCUGGCGACUGAACAACAAAAGAUGGCAAGAAAACAAAGAAAACUGAAAGAAAGAAGUGCAGAGGAAAGAGAACACUGAUUCUGAAAGGGAUCUUGAUAAAGUCAGGCACGUGGACUUCUUGCCCCACUCUGACCAACUCCUGGAUCAACCCAGACAGGGGAUCCCAGGGAAGCCUGCCUGCCCACACCUGAAUCCUCCC
This is a long non-coding RNA of Bos taurus (domestic cattle), 1137 nucleotides long. The record is from Ensembl. NCBI's taxonomy places the organism in Eukaryota, Metazoa, Chordata, Mammalia, Artiodactyla, Bovidae.